RNAcentral lists this ribosomal RNA (365 nucleotides) under uncultured Hydrogenophaga sp. RNAcentral's name for it is "bacterial SSU rRNA". It matches the Rfam family "Bacterial small subunit ribosomal RNA", at positions 1012 to 1382 of the family's 1533-position model. The record is from RNAcentral. Lineage: Bacteria; Pseudomonadati; Pseudomonadota; Betaproteobacteria; Burkholderiales; Comamonadaceae.
AGUGCUCGCAAGAGAACUGGAACGACAGGUGCUGCAUGGCUGUCGUCAGCUCGUGUCGUGAGAUGUUGGGUUAAGUCCCGCAACGAGCGCAACCCUUGUCAUUAGUUGCUACGAAAGGGCACUCUAAUGAGACUGCCGGUGACAAACCGGAGGAAGGUGGGGAUGACGUCAAGUCCUCAUGGCCCUUAUGGGUAGGGCUACACACGUCAUACAAUGGCCGGUACAAAGGGCAGCCAACCCGCGAGGGGAGCCAAUCCCGUAAAGCCGGUCGUAGUCCGGAUCGCAGUCUGCAACUCGACUGCGUGAAGUCGGAAUCGCUAGUAAUCGUGGAUCAGCAUGUCACGGUGAAUACGUUCCCGGGUCUU